GACGAACUGUGCAAACGUUAUUCGGAAUCACUGGGCUUAAAGGGUGCGCAGGCGGUGGCCCGCGUGGGCGGUGAAAGCUCCUGGCUCAACUGGGAGAGGGCCGUCCAGACGGGGUCACUUGAGGGGCGGAGAGGGGCGUGGAAUUCCGGGUGGAGCGGUGAAAUGCGUAGAGAUCCGGAGGAACACCGACGGCGAAGGCAGCGCCCUGGCCGCCAUCUGACGCUCAGGCACGAAAGCUAGGGGAGCAAACAGG
This 253-nucleotide ribosomal RNA is filed under the name uncultured bacterium. Its description in RNAcentral is "partial 16S ribosomal RNA". It matches the Rfam family "Bacterial small subunit ribosomal RNA", at positions 524 to 776 of the family's 1533-position model. The record is from RNAcentral.